UUCCCUACCCCGCCGAUUCCCCACCCGGCCACCCUGUCGUGGCGUCGUCCCACCCCCGCCGCACUCACAGCCCCCCUCCUCCCUCCUGGGCUCCUGGCCUCCACCUCGUCCUCCCGCACCCACGAGGCCACGAACGGUGCUCCGCCGCCGCUCCGCCGCGUCGUCGCCACUGCCUGGUCCACCUCAUCGUCCCACACCGCACUGCCACGAACGGCGCUCCGCCGCGUCGUCGCCGCCGCCUGGUCCGCCUCGUCCUCCCUUACUGCCACGAACGGCGCUCCGCCGCGUCGUUCAUAGCCCGCCCCUCCCUGCUGGCGGGCGUGGAGAGAGGGCAGAAGCAGGAUUUUUUUUAGAUUAAGAAUAAAACAUCCGGCCUCUACACUCGCGUUGCCGUUGGAUACCCAUCCCCGUUCCCCAAAUCCACACCCGAUGAAAUGAGGAGGGUGUGGAUGCUAAAUACUUUACCCAUUCGUAUAUGGGUAGGGGAUGGGUAUACCCGUAAGAGAUUGGGUAUGGGGAGGGUAUCCCCAUGUCUGCCCGUAGCUUCAUCCCCUUCAACUCGUCAGUUUCUGGACAAGAGUUUCAUGUCUUCUGUGCAGUUCGUCCGCGCUCGCCUAAUUAAUCAGCUAUUCUUCUCUGCAUCACUCGUCAUGUGCGCACCUGUGCAAGCAAGCAAAAUCCCGCCACAUCAUGAUCUCGCGCACUGCUAGGAUGCCUCUGCAAGCAUCAUUCUGCGCGCUGGAAGAAACCCUAGGCGGCUCGAGUGGAUGGAAGGAUGAGAAGAAACGAUGACGGCCGAGAAGCAACCAGCGACGACGAGCUUCUUCGAUUUGGUAAUUUGUACUGAUCGUCAGAUGCAAGGCAGCGGUAACGGAUGCUCAGCAGCCCACCUCCCACUUGAAUCUUCGAUCUGGUACUUAUCCGUCAGAUGCAAGCUUCUUCAUUUUUUUUCCUUUUCUUUUUCUUUUUUUCAAGAUCUAUUUUGCAAUUCGAUUUGUCUCAUGAUGUCCGUUCUUCAAUUCCUCUUGAGCUUGUGCAUAUUUGGCUAUUAAUUGAUCUCAAUUCUUAUUCGGCAUUCUGUAUAGAGAGUUCAUAAAAGUGCAAGGAUGUGUUUGAGGUUUUAAUUUUUACCCAAUUAAUUAUCCAUUAUCCAAUGGGUAUGGAUAAAUGGGUGUGGAUAAAUUUGGGAAGAGUAUAGAAUGGGCAAUUGAAUUCUGGGUAUGGGUGUGGAUAAGUGCCGGGUUCCCCGUACCUUCCCCAACGGCAACGCGACUCUACACCCAUCUGGUGGAUGCUUACAGCCAUCCACCAGGAUCCCGCUUCGGGGGGAAGCUGAUCCAAGCAACCGCAGCUAGCGUUUAGAUGUAAGAUCGGACGGGCAGUUUUUUUUGCUGAUGACGUGGCCGCGCGAGGGUAGAGAAGUGGUAUACAGGAAUAGAUAAUAUGGUAGAUAUCCGUCUCUUUGCCACUCGCGCCCGCGGCUGAUCCCGAUCCCGUCACGACGCUCCUCUUUCCGACGCCUGCCUCUCCGACGGAGAGAGCCAGGACCGCAGGCGGGCCUCUGGCAUCUAGAUUGCCAGUUCUCGUCGUCUCUCAGGAUCCCCAGGAAGAACAGACACUUGCCAAUGGAUGAUAACCAUGCUUGGGAAAGACGUGUGUCUCAGUUCGUAUAAGCAAGCACAAAUCUAUCAACAUGGUUGACUAAUAUCCUUAUAACUGGGUAAGGAAUGAUAUAUAUCUCGUGUUGACCUAAUGAAGCACAAAUCUGCUAACCUCGUUGAACUGGCAAAAUCCAUGGCACGGGAACUUGACUAUUAUUGGUCACUCGGUGAAAACCUUGAUAAUGGAACAACCUCAUGCAUUAUCUACAAAGUACCUCAACAUAUCCGUGAAAUUGAUAGGCUUUUUUAUGAGCCUUGCAUGCUAUCAAUUGGUCCCUACCACCAUGGAGCCACUGCCUUAGAAUCUAUGGAAAAAGAAAAAUGGGGUUAUCUUGAUAUGAUCCUUAAAAUAAACUCAGCGCGGAGCUUGCAGGAUUACCUCGUGGCUGUUGGUGAGCUACUAAGGCAGGCAAGAAGUUGUUAUUCUGAAAAUAUUGAAAUGGAUGAUGAGAAAUUUCUGCUGAUGCUCUUACUCGAUGGAUGCUUUAUUUUAGUAGCUCUCGGGGGUUUGAGAGGAAUUUUCCAACAAGUAUUCAGUAAGAACACUGAUCUUCAGGAAAUUAAAUUAGAUCAUGCAGAGGGUCAAAGUGUUGAGGAGCAAGUAAGCAAUAAGGCAGCAAAUUCAGGGAACGAGUUUGCAUGGCUGGGAUGUAACCAAACUGAUAUACAGGACGACAAAAGCAGUGAGCAGCCCUAUAACCAUUCAGGAUAUUGGUUUAGUAGAUUUAUCAAUCAUGACCUUCUCUUGUUGGAAAACCAAAUCCCCGUUUUCAUUCUGAAGAAAAUAUUUGAGCUAGUUGCUGGUAACCGGGUGCUAGAAGUGCCUUUCACAGAUGAACUCGCACAAUAUGUUGAAGUUGCUUUGCGAUGGUAUCCAAAAGCAAUCACUGAAUCUCAAAGACCAAAAGAUUUCCACCAUUUGCUUCAUUUGUGUCACACUUACUUCAGAGUUCAGACCCACCCAAAAGCCAGAGGAUGACCAUGACUAUCAGUUUCCAAUUCGAUACAUUAACAGGUUUCUUAGUUUUGGGCGCAAAUAUCUAAAGUUUAACCAACGUCCAGAAGACCGUGAACAGGGAACAUCAUUGAACUCGGAGAUAGAUUUCCUGCAAGCAGGUCAGCAGCUGAACCGCUGGCGCCGAGCUGCACAAUAUUUAGAAGCUGGAGUGAAGUUUAAGAAGAGAGAUUAUGAUAAACUUUAUCCUCAUACUCUACUUGACAUUCGUUUUCACAAUAGUGCAAUGGAACUUCCUUGUCUUGUGAUUGAUGAAUUUUCAGCAACUCUUUUCAGGAAUCUCAUAGCCUUUGAGCAAACCUGUCCUCAAUUUGGAGACGAUUUCACUGCAUAUAUAGUUUUCUUGUCCCAGCUUAUAAGCAUGCCAGAAGAUGUGACACUGCUUGCUCAGAGGGAAAUUAUUGUGCACCACUUUGAGAGUGAUGAAAGGGUGUCUGAUCUCUUUACCUUGCUCAGUAAAGAUGUGGUCUUCGAUUUCAAUGGUAAUUACUACUUGAAAUCUUUGUGCCAGACAAUGGAAGCUCACUAUCAAAGUCGCAUCAACCGGUGGAUGGCAUGGCUGUGGCUGAAUCACUUCAGCAACCCUUGGGUGGCUGUGGGUGCAUUUGCGACGGUCAUUGUCCUCGUCUGCACAAUCGUGCAGACCGUUUAUGGCAUUCUGGCGUAUGUUAAUCCGCCUGAGUAGAUGUAGCAGCAACAGAGAUGGGACAGGGCGUGUACCUACUCUUCUGAAAAAAUGUUUAAGUUCAGGUUCUGACGAAAAUAAUUAGACAUA
Panicum virgatum (switchgrass) is the source of this 3451-nucleotide long non-coding RNA. RefSeq lists it as uncharacterized. The record is from RefSeq and is a predicted model, not a curated record. Lineage: Eukaryota; Viridiplantae; Streptophyta; Magnoliopsida; Poales; Poaceae. The transcript has 2 exons.